AAAGAUAUCCUUUCCUUGUCUACAAUACCAAACAAAACAUCAUUACCCCAUAUUGCACCAAUUCACCAUUCAUCAUUAAUCCAAACAUCUUUCAAUCUUCUAAUCUUCAUGCCAUUUCCGAAAUAUCACCUCAUGUCUUCUUUGUCUUAAAAGACUCUUCAAAAUAAAGAAGGGAUUGGACCCGUUUUAUGCAGCCUCAUGCAAGUGUUCAGCUUUAAAAUUCCUACCUUGUUUUAUUUUAUGGGUAAACUAUCAAAGUAAUUACACUUUUAUUUUUUUCAGAUUACAUUUUAGUCAUUUAUGUUAACGUGUCGUAAUAUUUUAGUCAUUGAGCUGUUAAUUAUAUUUAACGAUGUAACAGUAAGCUGAUGUGGCACGUUAAAUUAUCAUUUUAAACAAAAAAAUUUAUGUUAAAUCAUACAAUCGAUCCCAUAUUUUUUCGUUUUGAGCAAUUUAAUUUUUUUUCUUUUAUGUUCUUUUAACUUUCCUUUUUUUUUCUUUCUCUUUUGCUUUUCUCUCCCUUCUCCAUCUCUUUUAACGUAAAAAAAAUUGCUCAAAACGAAAAAAAUAUAAGGAUCAAUUGUAUAAUUUAACCUAAAAUUUUCUUUUGAAAUGAUAAUUUAACGUUUCACAUCAGCUUACAGUUACACCAUUAAUGGCUAUUAACGGCUGACUAAAAAAUGUUACAACACGAUAAUAUAAGUGACUAAAACAUAACAUUUCAAACAUAAGUGACUAAAAUGUAACCUGAGACAAACAAAAGUGACUAUUUUGAUAGUUUACCCUUAUUUUAUUUAUUUAUAUAUAUAAUAUGUAAUUAGAUAAUAUGUAAAAGAUAACAAAAAUAAAUUAUUAGGAGGAAAUUUAAGGAUGACAAAAGGUUAAUUUUAAAUGUCAAAACUACAUUUUUAAGUAGUUAAUCAUAAUAUAAUGAAUAUCAAGGUUUAAAUUUUGGUUCAUGGGUGAACCUUACUCACUUCUUCAAGAGGAUACUGAAUUAUUUUUAAAAAAAUCAAAUCAUAAUCAAAUAUUAUUUUUUUAAAAAUAAUAAUUUUACUCCUUCAGAGAAAUCUUUUCUAGAUAAACAACUCAAAUUUAAAAUUUAAAUAGGUAUAAUCUUGUAAAUUUAAAAUAAGAAAUAAAUAAAUUAUUUAAUUUAUAGCUUUUUGAUAAAAAAAAUUAAGAAUUAUCUAAUAUAGGUGAUAUGGUUUCAUUUUAUUUUUCCUUAAAAAAAAAAACACCUAAGAAACUCGGUGCCUAAUUGUGAGUACCGUAGUUGGAGUUGAGGCGUUGGCUAUGAUGAUGAUAGGAUGGAUGGUAUUGGUAGUGGGGGUGUUGUUGGUCCCUUCAUCCCAAUCAUUACGGUUCGACAUACAAUCGGGAAAGAUUAAAUGCAUCUCGGAAGACAUGAAAAGCAAUUCAAUGACGGUGGGGAAGUACCAAGUUAUCAAUCCCAACCAGGACCGUCAUCAACUAUUGCCUGAUUCUCACAAGUUGAACGUCAAGGUAACGUCGUCGCAUGGCCAUAUUUUUCAGUGGGCGGAGAAAGUAGAGAAAGGGCAGUUUGUAUUUACGGCGAUGGAGCAGGGAAAUUACAUGGCUUGCUUUUCGGCACCGGAGCAUUGGCCUCUGAUUACCUUGACCAUUGAUUUUGAUUGGAGGACAGGUGUUCAGUUUAAGGACUGGUUUAAUGUUGCCAAGAAAGGCCAUGUCGAUGUAAGUCUCUUCAUUUAUUCAUGAUAUUAGGAAACAACAAAACUGGCACAAACAUAAGCAUGCGUGCUAUAUAUAUUUGUUCAUGCUUUUUAUAAUGCACCCAAGGCUUUGUGGCUGUUUUGUGAAUAGCAGGCCAUGAAAGUGGAGCUGGAGCAGUUGUACCACACUAUUAAUUCCAUUCAUCAUGAAAUGUUUUAUUUCCGGGCAAGGUAGGGUAACGUCUUUCUCACUUUUUUCCCCCCUUUAAUGAAUCUUAAUUUCUUUGCCCACCCUAUUUGGCUUCCCUUCAGAGAAAAAGAAAUGCAGCAGCUAAAUCAAGAGACUAUCUCCAAAAUGAUGUGGUUGUCCUUCGUCUCACUUUGUUUUGGCUUCUCAGUUGCAGGAUUACAAUUUUGGUACCUAAAAUCCUUCUUCCAAGAAAAUAAGCUUAUUUGAUUUGACUGUGUUACCCAACAUCCCUAUUUUUUCCUUCUAAUUAUUAUUAGCUACUUUGUUUGACAAUGUAAUUUCUAGG
RNAcentral lists this long non-coding RNA (2230 nucleotides) under Gossypium barbadense (sea-island cotton). RNAcentral describes it as "long non-coding RNA (GBAR_LNC014289)". Lineage: Eukaryota; Viridiplantae; Streptophyta; Magnoliopsida; Malvales; Malvaceae. The record is from RNAcentral.